Dalotia coriaria is the source of this 1205-nucleotide long non-coding RNA. RefSeq lists it as uncharacterized. NCBI's taxonomy places the organism in Eukaryota, Metazoa, Arthropoda, Insecta, Coleoptera, Staphylinidae. The transcript is spliced from 3 exons. The record is from RefSeq and is a predicted model, not a curated record.
UACUUUUAUGUGUGUCUGCAUAAUUUAACAUAAAAUAAAGAUUUAUCUCUUCUCUCACAAUUUUUCUUGUAUAGUUGUGUAUAGAAAAAUUGUUUUAGUAAUGUAUUUAAUUCUCUUUUCUCAUAGCUGUUAAAUUCAUUUUCGGAUUCUAGUCUACUUUGCCGUGAGAAGCAGUACCAAGGUGGAUGUGGAAACGGCCUAUUAAUCUGCGCGGGCCUACCGCGGUUGUUAUCCUAUGGAGUUUUAUUGAAAAUCAGUAGCAGUUCAUAACAAUAAGCAUCUUUUGGUUUCCUCAGAACGCACUAGGAUUUUCGGACUUGUUUCAAAUUGUAAGUGGUAGCAUUUAAUGUUUUUCUAUUUUUUUACGCAGAUUAUGGUGCCGGACAAAAUGAUUUGUCGCCUUUAUUGGAGAGAGUUUUCUCGAAAAUAUAACAAACCGUAAAAGAAAGCAUCUUUAGGUUUCUUUACAACGUGUUCUCAGGACACUGCCUGAUUUUUCCCAAAAUGUUUAACGCGGCGUCGUUCAUGAAAAGCAGCACCGAGGAUGAACCUACCGAACGCUGCCCCUGAAGCUUGGGAAAAAAGAAAGACCAAGUACUUCUUGACUUGAUUUGUCAGAGAUGUAAAACCAGCCCCAAAAUCCAACCAAUUGUGCAGGAUAAGACUCGACGAGACUGAACAAGAACUGAAAAAUUGUUACCUGCGCUUUUAAGAAUAUUUGUUUAUAUAAUAUUGAAACUUGAUUGAAAAUUUAAUGCUGCUGGAAAAUAGCGCCAAAUUUAGAUUUACCACGCACUUUAUUUCAAAAUGCAGCCGAAGAUUUCAUUACAAAUUGUUGUUGCAAUAUAUGUUAGAUUGUAUUGCUAUUGCGUAACAUGUCAUAUUGUAUUGCCUUGCGAUAUAAGUUGCAUUGCAUUGUUUUUACUAUAGUUAUAUUCAAUUCCACGCCGGGUAUAAAAUUGAAUUGUAUAAAAAAAGCACCCGACGAAAUCUCUAGUUUAUAUUUAUAUUUUAUUCUAUAUCUUAUACUUUAGUUAUUCUUUAGUUUGACUGAGAUAAGCAACGUAAAACUUUAGUUAUAAAUUUAAUUUGGACUAAAAUGAGUAGAAUUUGGCUGAUUUUGAUUCUGUGCACAAAAUGCUACAAUAAUUUUAAACUUGUUUUAGUCUGUAGAUAUAUUGCACAAAUUUGUAUUGUCGAAUUAA